RNAcentral lists this ribosomal RNA (379 nucleotides) under uncultured eukaryote. RNAcentral's name for it is "partial 18S ribosomal RNA". It matches the Rfam family "Eukaryotic small subunit ribosomal RNA", at positions 592 to 975 of the family's 1831-position model. The record is from RNAcentral.
CAAUAGCGUAUAUUAAAGUUGUUGCAGUUAGAACGCUCGUAGUCGGAUUUCGGGGCGGGUCGACCGGUCUGCCGAUGGGUACGCACUGGCCGACGCGUCCUUCCUUCCGGAGACCGUCCCUACUCUUAACUGAGCGGGGGCGGGAGACGGAACGUUUACUUUGAAAAAAUCAGAGUGUUUCAAGCAGGCAUCUCGCUCUUGCAUGGAUUAGCAUGGGAUAAUGAAAUAGGACUUUGGUGCUAUUUUGUUGGUUUCGAACACCGAAGUAAUGAUGAGAAGGGACAGUCAGGGGCACCCGUAUUCCGCCGAGAGAGGUGAAAUUCUCAGACCAGCGGAAGACGAACCACUGCGAAAGCAUUUGCCAGGGAUGUUUUCACUG